Molecule: long non-coding RNA, 578 nt
Filed under: Nicotiana benthamiana
Lineage: Eukaryota; Viridiplantae; Streptophyta; Magnoliopsida; Solanales; Solanaceae
Description: long non-coding RNA (NBEN_LNC018427)
Source: RNAcentral
AGGGCUCAUUUUCAGUCUGAUCCAACGGUGGCACCAGGAAUCCUGAGAAUGCACUUCCAUGAUUGUUUUGUACUAGGUUGUGAUGGUUCUAUCCUCAUUGAUGGUUCAGACGCUGAGAGAACUGCUAUUCCAAACAGAAAUUUGAAAGGAUUCGACGUUAUUGAGGAUGCUAAGACCCAAAUUGAAGCUAUCUGUCCUGGAGUUGUUUCAUGUGCUGAUAUUCUUGCUCUUGCUGCUCGUGAUUCCGUUGUUGCGGUAAGAACAUCUCCCGAAUAGAAAUUUGAAAGGAUUCGACGUUAUUGAGGAUGCUAAGACGCAAAUUGAAGCUAUCUGUCCUGGAGUUGUUUCCUGUGCUGAUAUUCUUGCUCUUGCUGCUCGUGAUUCCGUUGUUGUGGUAAGAACAUCUCCCCCAUUGUCUUAUAUAUUUUACGCUUCUUAUUAUAUGUGUACACGCACACUUAUCUAAACGUAUAUUUCCUCGGUUCCAACUUAUGCGACCAUGCAUGAACGGUAAAUAGUUUGUAUGGUCCCAUGCAUGUAUCCAUAAUAUAGUUUUACUUCUACACAUUAAAAAUGAC